UACGUAUGGGGCGAGCGUUAUUCGGAUUUAUUGGGCGUAAAGCGUAUGUCGGGGGCUUGUUAAGUCGAGGGUGAAAUUUUCUCGCUCAACGUGAAAAUUGCUUUCGAAACUGGCAAGCUAGAGUUUUGGAGAGGAGAUUGGAAUUCCAAGUGUAGGGGUGAAAUCUGUAGAUAUUUGGAAGAACACCAGUGGCGAAGGCGAAUCUCUGGCCAAAAACUGACCCUUAGAUACGAAAGCCAGGGGAGCAAAUGGGAUUAGAUACCCCAGUAGUCCUGGCCAUAAACGUUGAUCACUAGGUGAUGGAAGUAUUCACUUUCAUUGCCACAGCUAACGCGUUAAGUGAUCCGCCUGGGGAGUACGCUGGCAACAGUGAA
This 374-nucleotide ribosomal RNA is filed under the name uncultured bacterium. RNAcentral's name for it is "bacterial SSU rRNA". It matches the Rfam family "Bacterial small subunit ribosomal RNA", at positions 524 to 898 of the family's 1533-position model. The record is from RNAcentral.